Molecule: long non-coding RNA, 2584 nt
Filed under: Triticum aestivum (bread wheat)
Lineage: Eukaryota; Viridiplantae; Streptophyta; Magnoliopsida; Poales; Poaceae
Description: long non-coding RNA (TAES_LNC016047)
Source: RNAcentral
GCACCCCAUGUUGUGAGCCGUAACCUUACGGCUGACCGCCAGGCUCCAUCGCUUACGCGAUGUAACUUUUUAUCUACACAAACGUAAACUUUCACCCCUUCUUCACAUCGGCUACAAACCGUUUCCUGGGAUAGCUAGCCCACGCCACGACCCGUCUCCCACGUUCCUAUUCCAAUCGAGAUGAGCGGUAGUUUUGAUGGCGAGUGGCGGCGGCGGCUGGUUUGCUGGUCGACGGCAUGGUGCUCAGCGGGUUAGUUCUGCGGGAAAGUCAAUGACCUCAGCGACGUCAUGAUCAGGCAUGUGGCCACGGAGUCCGGCAGCGCGGCGUCCGGCGGGUGGUUGUCGCGGCAGCUCUGGCUCGAGGCUCGAGCACGGUUGCCAGGACUGUACAAGGACGAGCAUCCAUCACGGCCUCCGGGUGUAAGGUUCGUGCGCUCCCCUUUUUUUUUGCAAACGCAUGGGCACAGUGAGCCCGCUGCCCUUGUUCUCCAUGCGGCUGCGAUCCCCUCCUCUCACACCACAUCACAUGUUUUGUUGCUAGACCCUUCCUCCUACCCGGUAACCAUUAUGUUUCUGAUCUGAUUGUUUCCAUAAUUUCAAGGCUUGUGUGAACCUCGGUAAUUCAUCUUUGGAUCUCAUUCUGAGUGCCCACGGGGUGUUUAUGUUAAUGCCCAAUUGGGAAUUGAAGCUGUAACAGUUGUAUACUUUUGUGAGGAAUCUUGGAUAAAUGAAGGCGCAGGUUCUAAAUUUCAUUUACUAUUGAUUCUGAAAAGAUUUAUUACAUGAGCCUGAUGGGUAGAAUCCUUAUUUGUGCCUGGCUACUUGGUAUAGUAUAGCAAAUAAAAUCUGCCAAGGGUCAGGGGUAAAUUCAAGUGUCCUGACUCUAUGAAUUCAUUAUGAACAAGUGUGCAGUGGAUGGCCUGGUGUGCUUUGCUUGGACGUCCGGACGCGACCGCGACGGUGCCGACAGCCUGGGCCUCCCGCACCUCGGCGGGGGAGGUGGUUCCCUCCUGCUCGGUAACGGUGCUGCUGCUUCUGUCGUUUGGCAUUUCUCUUCGGAUCUCUUGGCCUCGCGGUGGUGUUCGUAGUGAGACGGCGUGGGUCGUGGCACAACCGAGAUGGCGCAAGGUGGUGGGCGGAGGUUUGGCUGGUCGGCUUUGGUUCGGUCGGGUGGCGGGUUUGGAGUGUGGAAGAAAUCCUUGCCGGUCUUCGGCUCAAAUGCGGUGACACCUGCGAGUGCCACCAUUCCUUCCUGGAGAGUGUCGUUGUUCUCCAUCCCCCAACUCCCUCCGCGUGUCAGGGAAAACCCUAGGACCCGUCCGGGCAGCAGCGUCGUCGGCGUCGCAUUCCUUCUUGGGGGUUCUGCUUGGUACGCGGCGGAUCGGAGCCUCGGGCUAUGGUCGUUUGUUUCGAGUGGGCGCAGCGAUGGCGGGUCAUCCGUGCUUUGUCGAGCUGCCGCUGUAGGUAUUUGUUUCUUCUUCUUUUUCUUUUGGGCUUGUUGUGCUACUCGCCCCAGCGAUUUGUACUUUCGGUGUUGAUUGCUUUGAAAUACAAAGCAGGGAAAACCCUUUUUGGUAAUCUGUCAUCGAAUUUAAUAAUGUAAGAUGAAAGUCACAAUUCUGAAGUUGACAUUAGAGCAAAAAAGCAUGAUGCGAUUUUUUCAGUGUGUUCGGCAAGAGGCCCUGGUGACGGAUGACCUCUCUGGCUGGAGACAGUGGGUGCCUUUGGGGGCGAACGCAUACGGCGGGCGUGUGGCCUCGGUGUCGGGUUAAGUGUUUUUAACUUUCCGUAGAGCAGGUAGGCUCGACGACGUGGUGCUUGGUUUGGGUGGUGGUCACAUCAACGCUGCUAAUGGUGGUCUGAGUCGCUGGUUUGACCAUGACCCCUUCAUGCUCUCUGCCAGCCACGGUUGCAUGCUCUAGUACGCGCUGCAUGCCACAGUUUUCUGAACAAUUUCCCUGGCCCAAUACCUCUCGGAUGUGCAGGUAACUUAUGCCCAAUAAAUAGUGUGGUUGAUCUUGGUUCGUGGCGAGUUAGUUGUUUUGGUCAUAGCUAAACCGAGUGUGUUCUUGUCUAAAUUUGAUUGCAAUAUACAAAUAGUUUUCGGAGCUACAGGCUAUGUAAAGUUAAAAGUGUGUUAUCCAGAUCAUAAAAUUCAUGCUUGGGCUAGCUAAAUAUUAUGCAGAGGUAAUGAUGCUACUCUGGUUUGUGCUUCCGUUGAAAUAUACACAAGGUGUUCAGAUGGUUUGCUUGCAAAUAUGAACAUGGUGUUCAGAUGGUUUGCUUGCAAAUAUGAACAAGGUGUUCAGAUGUAACUCGUAAGAUAGAAGAAUCCUCUUGUGAAUUUUCUGUUGAAGAAAUUACUUCCACGUGGACUUUUUCUAUUAUUAUUAAGUGAUAUCAGUAGAUUCCAUGCUUGAUUCUUGCAGCUGUCAGAAGUCUACGGACAGUCAAGUAAUAAAUAUGGACUCUUAAUUGAAGGAGAACUCUGUGCACUUAUGAUAGCAUCUGGACCGUAAAUCUGUAGCAGGUCCUCGACGUAUCAUGCCAAGGCAUACAUGUAGCAGUAUCAUCCAGACCACGU